RNAcentral lists this ribosomal RNA (375 nucleotides) under uncultured organism. Its description in RNAcentral is "partial 16S ribosomal RNA". It matches the Rfam family "Bacterial small subunit ribosomal RNA", at positions 527 to 896 of the family's 1533-position model. The record is from RNAcentral.
GUAGGUGGCAAGCGUUGUCCGGGAAUUAUUGGGGCGUAAAGCGCGCGCAGGUGGUUCUUUAAGUCUGAUGUGAAAGCCCCUGGGCUCAACCGGGGAGGGUCAUUGGAAACUGGGGAACUUGAGUGCAGGAGAGGAAAGUGGAAUUCCACGUGUAGCGGUGAAAUGCGUAGAUAUGUGGAGGAACACCAGUGGCGAAGGCGACUUUCUGGCCUGUAACUGACACUGAGGCGCGAAAGCGUGGGGAGCAAACAGGAUUAGAUACCCUGGUAGUCCACGCCGUAAACGAUGAGUGCUAAGUGUUGGGGGGUUUCCGCCCCUCAGUGCUGCAGCUAACGCAUUAAGCACUCCGCCUGGGGAGUACGGUCGCAAAGACUG